RNAcentral lists this ribosomal RNA (497 nucleotides) under uncultured bacterium. RNAcentral's name for it is "partial 16S ribosomal RNA". It matches the Rfam family "Bacterial small subunit ribosomal RNA", at positions 28 to 507 of the family's 1533-position model. The record is from RNAcentral.
GACGAACGCUGGCGGCGUGCCUAAUACAUGCAAGUAGAACGCUGAAGAGAGGAGCUUGCUCUUCUUGGAUGAGUUGCGCACGGGUGAGUAACGCGUAGGUAACCUGCCUUGCAGCGGGGGAUAACUAUUGGAAACGAUAGCUAAUACCGCAUAACAAUGGAUGACACAUGUCAUUUAUUUGAAAGGGGCAAUUGCUCCACUACAAGAUGGACCUGCGUUGUAUUAGCUAGUAGGUGAGGUAAUGGCUCACCUAGGCGACGAUACAUAGCCGACCUGAGAGGGGGAAUCGCCCCACUGGGACCGGGGAGCGGCCCAGGCCUCUACGGGGGGGAGCCGUAUGGAAUCUUCGGCAACUGGGGCAACCCUGACCGAGCGACGCCGCGUGAGUGAAGAAGGUUUUCGGAUCGUAAAGCUCGGUUGUAAGUCAAGAACGGGUGUGAGAGUGGAAAGUUCACACUGUGACGGUAGCUUACCAGAAAGGGACGGCUAACUACGUG